CCUGGCUCCCAGCGGGUGGAAAGAAACCGGAGCGGUUUUUUUUUGGUGAUUUUGGAAACCUUGAAGGGACACGGACCCCGGUGCUACAGAGGUAGGGCAGCAGGACCGGUGAGCGGGUGCCUGGGACCAGCGCCUGAGGACAAAGAAAAUCGGCACCACCAUUUUGGAGGAGCAGCCCCAGCCAGGCCACGCCCACAGCAACACCGGAGAUAAACCCCAUAGCAAACGGGCAGGAAGUAGAAGCCCUGUCUGCACACAGCUGACAAGCAUAAGCCACUAGAGGUCGCUAUUCUCCCAGGAGAGGAAGGCCACAAAACAAAAAGAAGGGAAACUCUUUCAGCGCUCACUUGUACCAGCUCCGCAAACUAUCUCUAUCACCAUGAAAAGGCAAAACUACAGGCAGACAAAGAACACAGAGACAACAC
Non-coding RNA from Manis javanica (Malayan pangolin), 425 nucleotides. The record is from RefSeq and is a predicted model, not a curated record. Lineage: Eukaryota; Metazoa; Chordata; Mammalia; Pholidota; Manidae.